UUCAUGCAAGUGGAUAUUGUGUGUAUAUAUAAUGUAUAUGUGAAGUAUCUUUUCUCUCUGUCAUGCGAAAAAUGAUUCCACACAUUAACACACACUUGUUGAAAAUGAGUAUUGUUUAUUUCACCAAACUGAUUCAAAAUUUUAUAAGUUGCUUUUCACCCUCUUACAAACAUUCUACCCAUUUUAAAUUAUUGUCUCAAGGAAUAUUUUCAAAUUUUUUUUACAUAUCAGUUGAGGUAAAAAUACAUAGUGCAAAGUGGUAAAUUCUUAUUUUUUGAUAUUUAUAUAAAUUUUGGCAUGAAAUACUCUAAGGCCUUCGGGUCGACUACUAUGUCAAAA
Molecule: long non-coding RNA, 339 nt
Filed under: Olea europaea (common olive)
Lineage: Eukaryota; Viridiplantae; Streptophyta; Magnoliopsida; Lamiales; Oleaceae
Description: long non-coding RNA (OEUR_LNC000046)
Source: RNAcentral